UUCCGGUUGGUUGAUCCUGCCGGACCUGACUGCUAUCGGAUUGAUACUAAGCCAUGCGAGUCUUUGUAGCAAUACAAGGCGGACUGCUCAGUAACACGUAGUCAAUCUACCCUAUGGAUGGGGAUAACCUCGGGAAACUGAGAAUAAUACCCAAUAGAUCAUAAUGCCUGGAAUGGUUUAUGGUUCAAAUGAUUUAUCGCCGUAGGAUGGGACUGCGGUCUAUCAGCUUGUUGGUGAGGUAAUGGCCCACCAAGGCUAUAACAGAUACGGGCUCUGAGAGGAGACGCCCGGAGAUGGGUACUGAGACACGGACCCAGGCCCUAUGGGGCGCAGCAGGCGAGAAAACUUUGCAAUGUGCGAAAGCACGACAAGGUUAAUCCGAGUGUUUUCUGCUAAAGAAAUCUUUUGUCAGUCAUAAAACCACUAACGAAUAAGGGGUGGGCAAGUUCUGGUGUCAGCCGCCGCGGUAAAACCAGCACCUCAAGUGGUCAGGAGGAUUAUUGGGCCUAAAGCAUCCGUAGCUUGCUGCAUAAGUUUUCGGUUAAAUCCAUACGCUCAACGUAUGGGCUGCCGGGAAUACUGUGCAGCUAGGGAGUGGGAGAGGUAGACGGUACUCGGUAGGAAGGGGUAAAAUCCUUUGAUCUAUUGAUGACCACCUGUGGCGAAGGCGGUCUACCAGAACACGUCCGACAGUGAGGGAUGAAAGCUGGGGGAGCAAACCGGAUUAGAUACCCGGGUAGUCCCAGCUGUAAACUAUGCAAACUCAGUGAUGCAUUGACUUAUGGUCAAUGCAGUGCUGCAGGGAAGCCGUUAAGUUUGCCGCCUGGGAAGUACGUACGCAAGUAUGAAACUUAAAGGAAUUGGCGGGGGAGCACCACAAGGGGUGAAGCCUGCGGUUCAAUUGGAUUCAACGCCGGAAAUCUCAUCUCUAGAGGAU
RNAcentral lists this ribosomal RNA (937 nucleotides) under uncultured archaeon. RNAcentral's name for it is "bacterial SSU rRNA". It matches the Rfam family "Archaeal small subunit ribosomal RNA", at positions 1 to 941 of the family's 1478-position model. The record is from RNAcentral.